AAAAGUUGAAAAAUGGUAAUUUACAUGGAAAAGGGCUACAUUGAAUACAAUGAUCACUAAUCCUUCUACCAUCUUCAAUAUCCACUGUGUUCUUGGCCUCAGUUGAGAAUGAUGAAUCAAAGUUGACUGACUUGCUCAAGAAUGUCUUCAAGAUAGAAGAUCAACCGAAUGUAGUUACUUUCCAUAAUCCCUAUUUUUUUCAUAAAUUGCCCCAAGAUGGGGUUUUCAAUCUAUCAGGACAAAUUGUUCU
Molecule: long non-coding RNA, 250 nt
Filed under: Lathyrus oleraceus (garden pea)
Lineage: Eukaryota; Viridiplantae; Streptophyta; Magnoliopsida; Fabales; Fabaceae
Description: Pisum sativum (pea) long non-coding RNA (PSAT_LNC006160)
Source: RNAcentral